Non-coding RNA from Chrysemys picta bellii (western painted turtle), 419 nucleotides. Lineage: Eukaryota; Metazoa; Chordata; Testudines; Emydidae. The record is from the annotation of a RefSeq genome assembly.
GUUACUGCUUUGCAGCCCACCAGGUUGUUGUGGAGAAUGAAAAUGAUCUGUCUGGGGGUCUUUUUCUUUUUGGCAGCUUUCUCAGGUGUCAGCUCCCAGAUACAGCUGACCCAGUCUGGGGCAGAAAUCAAGAAGCCUGGAGAGUCUGUGAAGCUGACACGUAAAACAGCUGGUUACACCUUUACCAGCUAUUACAUUCAGUGGUUACGGCAGGUGCCCGGGAAAGGACUGCAGUGGAUAGGACUUAUCAAUCCCAACAAUGGAGGCACCCACUAUGCCCAGGCCUUCCAGGGGCGAUUCACCAUCACCAGGGACACUUCCAUAAGCACGGCCUAUCUACAGCUGGGCAGUCUGAGAACCGAUGACACAGCCACGUAUUACUGUGCUCGGGACACAGCUAUGGAGUAUUUUGGGGAGGG